RNAcentral lists this ribosomal RNA (253 nucleotides) under uncultured bacterium. RNAcentral's name for it is "partial 16S ribosomal RNA". It matches the Rfam family "Bacterial small subunit ribosomal RNA", at positions 524 to 776 of the family's 1533-position model. The record is from RNAcentral.
UACGAAGGGGGCUAGCGUUGUCCGGAAUCACUGGGCGUAAAGGGCGCGUAGGCGGCUUGAUAAGCGUGCGGUGAAAGCCCGGGGCUCAACCCCGGGUCGGCCGUGCGAACUGUCGAGCUGGAGCACUGUAGAGGCAGGUGGAAUUCCGGGUGUAGCGGUGGAAUGCGUAGAGAUCCGGAAGAACACCGGUGGCGAAGGCGCUCAUCUGGCCCAAUACUGACGCUGAAGCGCGAAAGCUAGGGGAGCAAACGGG